GGUUCUCGAAGCUUUGCUCGUGUUGCCAUAGUUCUUAUUUGUCUUUCGCUUUGUAUCUUCUAACAUGGAAACACUACAUAGGCUUUUAAGAUCCGAUUUCAGUUCCAGUUCUUAUACUCAAUCAUACACAUGCCAUCUAGUCAUAUUUGAAUCCAAAAUACUAUCAAGUUUCUUCUUGCUUCUCAAAGCUUUGAUGGUGUAGUUGAAGCCCAUAUGAGUCUUUGGCUUUGUAUCUUCUAACAAGGAAACAUUA
This 253-nucleotide small RNA is filed under the name Arabidopsis thaliana (thale cress). Its description in RNAcentral is "ATSL034280". The record is from RNAcentral. Lineage: Eukaryota; Viridiplantae; Streptophyta; Magnoliopsida; Brassicales; Brassicaceae.